CCUACGGGGCGCAGCAGUGGGGAAUAUUGCACAAUGGGGGAAACCCUGAUGCAGCGACGCCGCGUGAGUGAAGAAGUAUUUCGGUACGUAAAGCUCUAUCAGCAGGGAAGAAAAAAAGUCCUUUGGACUUUGGACGGUACCUGACCAAGAAGCCCCGGCUAACUACGUGCCAGCAGCCGCGGUAAUACGUAGGGGGCAAGCGUUAUCCGGAUUUACUGGGUGUAAAGGGAGCGUAGACGGCAAUACAAGUCGGAAGUGAAAUACCCGGGCUCAACCUGGGAACUGCUUUGGAAACUGUAUGGCUG
Molecule: ribosomal RNA, 305 nt
Filed under: uncultured bacterium
Lineage: Bacteria
Description: bacterial SSU rRNA
Rfam family: Bacterial small subunit ribosomal RNA
Source: RNAcentral